AACGAACGCUGGCGGCAUGCCUAACACAUGCAAGUCGAACGAGACCUUCGGGUCUAGUGGCGCACGGGUGCGUAACGCGUGGGAACCUGCCCUUAGGUUCGGAAUAACUCCCCGAAAGGGGUGCUAAUAUCGGAUAAUGUCUUCGGACCAAAGAUUUAUCGCCUUUGGAUGGGCCCGCGUUGGAUUAGCUAGUUGGUAGGGUAAAAGCCUACCAAGGCGACGAUCCAUAGCUGGUCUGAGAGGAUGAUCAGCCACACUGGGACUGAGACACGGCCCAGACUCCUACGGGAGGCAGCAGUGGGGAAUAUUGGACAAUGGGCGAAAGCCUGAUCCAGCAAUGCCGCGUGAGUGAUGAAGGCCUUAGGGUUGUAAAGCUCUUUUACCCGGGAUGAUAAUGACAGUACCGGGAGAAUAAGCUCCGGCUAACUCCGCG
This 433-nucleotide ribosomal RNA is filed under the name uncultured bacterium. Its description in RNAcentral is "partial 16S ribosomal RNA". It matches the Rfam family "Bacterial small subunit ribosomal RNA", at positions 29 to 507 of the family's 1533-position model. The record is from RNAcentral.